Ribosomal RNA from Danio rerio (zebrafish), 115 nucleotides. Lineage: Eukaryota; Metazoa; Chordata; Actinopteri; Cypriniformes; Danionidae. The record is from Ensembl.
GCUGGCAGCUAGUUCUCUGCUACUCUCACACAGUUGCCCACUGAAGCUAAGCAGGGCCGUGCCUGGCCAGUAUCUGGAUGGGAGACCACAUGGGAAAGCUAGGUUGCUGCUGGAA